Armigeres subalbatus is the source of this 383-nucleotide long non-coding RNA. RefSeq lists it as uncharacterized. Lineage: Eukaryota; Metazoa; Arthropoda; Insecta; Diptera; Culicidae. The transcript is spliced from 3 exons. The record is from RefSeq and is a predicted model, not a curated record.
UUAGUGACAAUUCUUUCGACAACAGUAUUUGGACCAACCGCCAUUGAAACUUUUUUCUAAAAGUCGGCGGCAAUGUGAAUUCAAAAAGUAAAAAGUUUAUUCGCCGAAAACAAAACAAUAUUAGGAUCAAAAUGCAAGACCGAGGUAUACACCAAUGAAUUCGGAGAUUCAACUGCGAAUUACAAAAAAGCUUUCAAAGGAAUAUGCAGCCCCGUUGAAACAUGCGAAGAGUAACUGAUGGGAGAGCAGCAUAUCUUCUGGACAUGGACAAAGCGUCUCAUCAUACAAACAUCGUUUGAAAGGGAUUUGUGCUCAUCUAUUGUAUUAUGAACUGAAAAUAAAAACUAUAGCAAUCGUAGCAGCAAUCAUAGUGUCUUUUAACU